Molecule: long non-coding RNA, 306 nt
Filed under: Theobroma cacao (cacao)
Lineage: Eukaryota; Viridiplantae; Streptophyta; Magnoliopsida; Malvales; Malvaceae
Description: long non-coding RNA (TCAC_LNC003862)
Source: RNAcentral
UUUGCUUUUCAUGCUACACAUCACCAACCAACUAAAAACACUAGAAUAACAUGUUUUCCAACUAAAUUCAUCAUCAAAUCUUCUCCCCCUAGGUUCGGCCAACAAGGGAUCCAUCAUGAAAUCAUGAAUUUCAACCAUGGAAAAUGAGAAAGAAUGCUUAGGAAAGAUAGAUCUCAAGCUAAAAUUGAAAAAUCUUACCUUUUGUCACUUGAUUCCUUGAAAUUCCAAAAUUUUCUCUUGAAUUUUCUAACUAGGGUUUUGUUCUUUCUUUCUUUCCUCUUUUCCUUGGUGAGGCCGAACAUAUGG